AGUCAUGUGGCGUAGUGGUUUGGGCAUUGGACUACCACUCUGGAAACUAAGGUUUGAAUCCCUGCUUGGCCA
Non-coding RNA from Phrynosoma platyrhinos (Desert horned lizard), 72 nucleotides. The record is from the annotation of a GenBank genome assembly. NCBI's taxonomy places the organism in Eukaryota, Metazoa, Chordata, Lepidosauria, Squamata, Phrynosomatidae.